GAUGAACGCUAGCGGCAGGCUUAAUACAUGCAAGUCGAGGGGCAUCAAGGUACACGAAAGUGUAUUGUUGGCGACCGGCGGACGGGUGAGUAAUAGGUAGGUAACCUACCUCAUACUGAGGCAUAGCUGGGAGAAAUUCCAGGUAAUUCCUCAUGAGGUUAUAUGACACAUGUGAUAUAAUCAAAGGUAUCGCAAGGUACUGGUAUGAGAUGGGCUUACUGACCAUUAGCUAGUUGGUGAGAUAAGAGCUCACCAAGGCGAAGAUGGUUAGGGGUUUUGAGAGAGAGAUCCCCCACAUUGGAACUGAGAUACGGUCCAGACUCCUACGGGAGGCAGCAGUAGGGAAUAUUGCACAAUGGGCGAAAGCCUGAUGCAGCGACGCCGCGUGAGGGAAGAAGGCCUUCGGGUCGUAAACCUCUGUCCAAGGGGAAGAAAAAAAUGACGGUACCCUUGGAGGAAGCCCCGGCUAACUACGUG
This 477-nucleotide ribosomal RNA is filed under the name uncultured bacterium. RNAcentral describes it as "bacterial SSU rRNA". It matches the Rfam family "Bacterial small subunit ribosomal RNA", at positions 28 to 507 of the family's 1533-position model. The record is from RNAcentral.